UACCAUGCAAGUCGAGCGGAAGGCCCUUCGGGGUACUCGAGCGGCGAACGGGUGAGUAACACGUGAGUAACCUGCCCCUGACUCUGGGAUAAGCCCGGGAAACUGGGUCUAAUACCGGAUACGACCACUUCUCGCAUGGGAUGGUGGUGGAAAGUUUUUUCGGUUGGGGAUGGACUCGCGGCCUAUCAGCUUGUUGGUGGGGUAAUGGCCUACCAAGGCGACGACGGGUAGCCGGCCUGAGAGGGCGACCGGCCACACUGGGACUGAGACACGGCCCAGACUCCUACGGGAGGCAGCAGUGGGGAAUAUUGCGCAAUGGGCGAAAGCCUGACGCAGCGACGCCGCGUGGGGGAUGACGGCCUUCGGGUUGUAAACCUCUUUCAGCAGGGACGAAGUUGACGUGUACCUGCAGAAGAAGCGCCGGCUAACUACGUGCCAGCAGCCGCGGUAAUACGUAGGGCGCAAGCGUUGUCCGGAAUUAUUGGGCGUAAAGAGCUCGUAGGUGGCUUGUCACGUCGGGUGUGAAAGCUUGGGGCUUAACUCCAGGUCUGCAUUCGAUACGGGCUGGCUAGAGGUAGGUAGGGGAGAACGGAAUUCCUGGUGUAGCGGUGAAAUGCGCAGAUAUCAGGAGGAACACCGGUGGCGAAGGCGGUUCUCUGGGCCUUACCUGACGCUGAGGAGCGAAAGCGUGGGGAGCGAACAGGAUUAGAUACCCUGGUAGUCCACGCUGUAAACGUUGGGCGCUAGGUGUGGGGACCUUCCACGGUUUCCGCGCCGUAGCUAACGCAUUAAGCGCCCCGCCUGGGGGAGUACGGGUGCAAGGCUAAAACUCAA
RNAcentral lists this ribosomal RNA (834 nucleotides) under Streptosporangium sp. Its description in RNAcentral is "bacterial SSU rRNA". It matches the Rfam family "Bacterial small subunit ribosomal RNA", at positions 52 to 904 of the family's 1533-position model. The record is from RNAcentral. Lineage: Bacteria; Bacillati; Actinomycetota; Actinomycetes; Streptosporangiales; Streptosporangiaceae.